AAAAGAGACAAAAUUAGUUAUACAGCAGUGCCACUGCCCACCUGUCCCGGCCUUUUGUCCUCUCCAAGUUCCACCAUCCCGUCGGGCCUAACGUACGAGCGAAACUGCAUGGAUUCCCACCUCCCAAUCCAUGCGUCCCGAGGCCCAAGCGUGCCGCCUCCGUAGCCGCCCCAAUACAGAACGAGUGCGACCCAAACUGCAUGGGCUGCAGGCCCAUCCUCACUAAACCUAAACGAAAAAUCUGAAUGAAC
This is a non-coding RNA of Pelobates cultripes (western spadefoot toad), 251 nucleotides long. The record is from the annotation of a GenBank genome assembly. Lineage: Eukaryota; Metazoa; Chordata; Amphibia; Anura; Pelobatidae.